This 83-nucleotide microRNA precursor is filed under the name Ephydatia muelleri. Its description in RNAcentral is "Emu-Mir-2014_pre stem-loop". Lineage: Eukaryota; Metazoa; Porifera; Demospongiae; Spongillida; Spongillidae. The record is from RNAcentral.
UAGAUUGGGCUUGGUCGGCAGGAAAAAAGCGAUGCUCCUCCUUCGAGGCGAUACCGCAUCCUGCCAAACAAGUCCGAUCUACA